RNAcentral lists this ribosomal RNA (162 nucleotides) under Avena maroccana. RNAcentral describes it as "5.8S ribosomal RNA". It matches the Rfam family "5.8S ribosomal RNA". Rfam says of the family: 5.8S ribosomal RNA (5.8S rRNA) is a component of the large subunit of the eukaryotic ribosome. It is transcribed by RNA polymerase I as part of the 45S precursor that also contains 18S and 28S rRNA. Lineage: Eukaryota; Viridiplantae; Streptophyta; Magnoliopsida; Poales; Poaceae. The record is from RNAcentral.
ACACGACUCUUGGCAACGGAUAUCUCGGCUCUCGCAUCGAUGAAGAACGUAGCGAAAUGCGAUACCUGGUGUGAAUUGCAGAAUCCCGCGAACCAUCGAGUCUUUGAACGCAAGUUGCGCCCGAGCCAUUCGGCCGAGGGCACGCCUGCCUGGGCGUCACGC